UCCUUCAUAGCUCAGUUGGUAAAGAGUCUGCCUGCAAUGCAGGAGACCUAGGUUCGAUUCCUGGGUUGGGAA
This 72-nucleotide transfer RNA is filed under the name Bos taurus (domestic cattle). It matches the Rfam family "tRNA". Rfam says of the family: Transfer RNA (tRNA) molecules are approximately 80 nucleotides in length. Their secondary structure includes four short double-helical elements and three loops (D, anti-codon, and T loops). Further hydrogen bonds mediate the characteristic L-shaped molecular structure. tRNAs have two regions of fundamental functional importance: the anti-codon, which is responsible for specific mRNA codon recognition, and the 3' end, to which the tRNAs corresponding amino acid is attached (by aminoacyl-tRNA synthetases). tRNAs cope with the degeneracy of the genetic code in two manners: having more than one tRNA (with a specific anti-codon) for a particular amino acid; and 'wobble' base-pairing, i.e. permitting non-standard base-pairing at the 3rd anti-codon position. Lineage: Eukaryota; Metazoa; Chordata; Mammalia; Artiodactyla; Bovidae. The record is from Rfam by way of RNAcentral. RNAcentral also lists the same sequence under 2 other names.